UACAGUGAAAAAUGACAAAAAAUCGUAGAAUAAGCGGUCCAUUCAAUAAACAAAUAUUUUUAUUGCAAUUUAAUAUAAUUUUUUCUUCUCAAAGUCAACAUUGCCAGCCUCUUAUUCUUUCAUUUUGCUUCAACUUUCUAUCUUUCAAGCUAUGAUAGGAGAGAACAAAAAUGGCUUAUGCUCAUCUUCUUUCUCUUACUCACGUUCUACAGCGUACCCUGAAAUAUGAUUGUUCAUAUCUUCUUCCUAGUGAGAAACAACAAAUCGAUUCCCUCCUCGAAAAAGUUGUUUACUUGCAAUAUUUUCUUGACAAUUUUCCACGAGAAAACAUUGAAUCAAUAGAAGGUUUGGAGAGAAAGAUUAGCGAUGCAGCAUGUCAAACUGAAGAUAUCAUUGAAUCUUGCAUUGCAGAUCGAGUUCUUGGAGAAUCUGCAAGUCAUAGUGGUGACUUCUUUACAACUUCAUUCCAUGAAAUAGCAAAACUGAUUGAAGAAGUUGAUUCCAUAAAGAUAAGGGCAGAAAAGAUCGAGGAUGAGAGUGGCAUACAGGAAGAUUUGGAGCGCAACACCUCAUUCCCAGUUGGUUCAUUAAGACCAGUUUCUAGGGAUCAUAGCACCAUGGUUGGUCUUGAUGAUUCCUUGGCAGAGAUCAAGGAUCGUCUAGUUAGAGAUUCAUCACAACUUGAAAUUGUCUCAAUUGUCGGCAUGGGUGGCAUCGGUAAGACUUCACUUGCUCACAAAAUUUACAUUGAUAAAUAUAUUGAGCAUCAUUUUCACAUUCGUGCUUGGCUCACUGUGUCUCAAGAUUAUAGUGUGCGAGAAAUCCUACUAGGCCUCUUAGAUUCCAUGAAAAUACAAACUGAUGGGAGGAGUGAAAAAAGAAUUGAUCAAUUGGGAGAACUUCUGUACAAGAAGCUAAAGGGUAGGCGGUAUCUUUUUGUAAUCGAUGAUGUGUGGGAUAUCGAGGCGUGGGAUAGUGUGAAAAGGUACUUUCCAGAAGACAAAACUGGAAGUCGAAUCCUUUUAACUACAAGGCUUGAGAAUGUGGCUAAUUAUAUUAACUCUGGUUCUCCUCUUCAUCAUGUGCGGUUUCUUAACGACGAAGAAAGUUGGAAGUUAUUUUGUCAGAAGGUGUUUGGAGAAGGUUUUUGCCCUCUUGAAUUGGAAGAAAUUGGCAAGAAUAUUGCCCAAAAUUGUCGAGGACUUCCACUUGCAGUUGUUGUGAUUGGGGGCCUCCUAUCAAAGGCCACUAAAACACCACACUACUGGAGAAAUAUUGCAAAAAAUUUAAGCUCAGAAAUAAAUUCAAAUGAUGAGCAAUGCUCUAAAAUACUUUCUUUAAGUUAUAAACAUUUGCCUCAUCAUUUGAAAGGGUGUUUCCUAUAUAUGGGAAUUUUUCCAGAAGAUUUUGAAAUCAAAGUCAGGGAGCUUACCAAGUUGUGGGUUGCAGAGGGAAUCCUCAAAUCAGCAUGCUCUAAAACGCUCGAAGAUGUAGGAGAGGAGUACUUUUUGGAUCUUGUUCAAAGAAGUCUUAUUUUGGCUCAAAAGAAGGGGUCCAAUGGAAAAAUUAAAACAUGUAGAAUUCAUGACCUGUUAGGGGACAUUUGUGUCAGAGAAGCUCAAAAGGUGAAGUUUUUCCAUGUCGUUGAAGGGAGUCCUUGUGGUAUUCAAGUAGGCACUAGUAUGCGCCGUGUAAGUAUUCAUAAUAAGAAGAAUUUUCUAGCUUUUCAAUUUUACUAUGCGGCUAAAGGGACUCUCCAUCGUGAUGACAAAACACUAUCUUCUUUCCCUGUAAAAUUUCCUUUCCUUUCCAGGCCACUUAAAGUACUGCAGAUGAAGGGAACUCAUAUUUAUCCAGAUGAAAUGGGAGAGUUGGUUAACAUGCGGUACCUAUAUUGCUACAAUAUACACCCACAACUGUACAUUGCAUCAAUACAUAAACUUCGGAAUCUACAAACAAUAGUUUGUCGAUGGUAUUGUGGGAACGAUAUUGAACUACCACCAGAAAUAUGGAAGAUGACACAAUUAAGACAUGUGAAGUUGAAUGGCUUUGUACAUCUUCCCGAUCCUCCUAUUUCAGAAAUUAAGGAGGGGGGAUAUUCUAUUGUUGCUCUAGAAAAUCUACAAACCCUCUGGACGAUAUAUAAUUUUAUAUGGACAGUGGAGGUCCUCGAAAGAAUUCCAAAUCUACGGAAAUUGGCUAUCCGAUACGGUGGUAUGGUGGCCGGUUGGGAAGAAUACUGUAUGAAUAAUCUUGUCCGUCUAACUAAACUUGAAUCAUUAAAAUGUAGGCUUGCAGAUACGUUCCCCCAUUUCCUAGUGAGUAUCACUUUUCCGACGUCACUCAAAAAGUUGACUUUAGACGGCAUGGGAUUUCAUUUCAAAGAUUAUCUCAAACUUCAUCCCGAAGAAUUGACGAUUCUUGGUAAGUUGCCUAAUCUAGAAGUGCUGAAAUUGAAACACUGUGACUUCAAUGAACUAGAGUGGAAACCAAAUGAAGGAGAAUUUCCCGAAUUGAAAUUUCUACUGUUACACGACGUUAAUCUGAAGCACUGGAGAGCUGACCGAAUACACUACCCGGGACUCGAGCACCUAGUCAUUUCGAUUAUGGCUUGCAGAGAGCUGAAUGAGAUCCCUAGUGGUUUUGGGGAAAUCUCAACUCUUCAAUCCAUCGAGUUGAUUCAACUUGAGGAUUUUGAGGAAAUUUCAACCCUUGGUGAUUCAAUUGUUGAAUCAGCGAAGAAAAUAGAAGAGGAACAAUUGAGCUGGGGAAACGAUGCCUUCAAGUUAUAUAUUACGGGAUGGUAAAUGUGCAGAGUUUCAAAGUUGUCCAUUCCAAUCAUUUUCAGGUACCAUUUUCUUUUGUGAACCUUUCCAUUUUUCGAUUUUAGCUUUCUUGUCUUUCUCUACAUUCUUAGUUCCUUUCCUCUGAAUUUUGAUACAGUCUCCGGUUCAAGAUAUGAGAGCUCCGUUUAAACCAACUUCAAUGCAGGUCCUGCAUUAAGAGUGCAAGCAAUUAAGUUUCUCUAAAGUUUCCUGUAAUGUCCCCUGAAGGAGGUUUUGCCUGUUUUCUCUGUAGGAUCCAACACAGCCUUGUUAAUUCAUGUGGAAGGUAGUACGCAGAAAAAUUAUGUUUGGAUGUGAAUAUAAUUUUUAAAGAAUUUUAAUGUAAUUAAUGGAGACGGUUAGAUUUUUACAUAUUUAAGGGUUUAGAUUAUUUGUCUAAAAUGUUUGUCAAAUGUAUUUAUAGGUGUUAAAUAGCAUUUCUUUACUCUUGUGAGAAUUGUUUCCUUAUCACAAGUUCCAAUGUGUCCGUGAUAACAAUAAGAAUAAUUCUACUCCUACAAAGUUGGUGUACAAAAGUGGAGUGCUAAAGUGUGUUGACA
RNAcentral lists this long non-coding RNA (3385 nucleotides) under Olea europaea subsp. europaea. Lineage: Eukaryota; Viridiplantae; Streptophyta; Magnoliopsida; Lamiales; Oleaceae. The record is from RNAcentral.